CUCGAUCCCUGGUCUCCAGGAUCACACCCUGGGCGGAAGGCAGGUACUAACCUGCUGAGCCACCCAGGGAUCCCACUAAAUAAAAUCUUUAAAAAAAUUCCAUACACACAUAUAUAUAGAAGAGCAGGAAUAACUAUGUUAAUCCAACAAAAUACACUUCAAACCAAGGAUAUGGCCAUAGAUAAAGACAAACACUCCAUAAUAAUAGGAAGGGUCAAUACCUUAAAAUAAGCAUAAUUAUUAUAAAUGUAUGUGCCUAAUAAACUUCACAGUAUGUGAAGCAAAAGUUAACAUAAUGAAAGGAAGAAAUAGAUAAUUCAAAAUUGCAACUGAGGAUUUUAGUAGCAUUUGAUAAGACAGUAAAAGCAAAAAUCAGUAAGGAUAUAGAUGAUCUAAACAAAAAUAUCAACCGCCUUAAUCUAAUUGACAUCUAAAGUACACUACACUCAAUAACUUGAGAAUACAAAUUCUUUUCAAAUCCUGUAUUUCUUUUUUAAAAAGAUUGUAUUUAUUUAUCCAUGAGAGACACACAGAGAUAGAGGCAGAGACACAGGCAGAUGGAGGAGCAGGCUCCAUGCAGGGAGCCCAAUGUGGGACUUGAUCCCGGGUCUCCAGGAUCAGGCCCUGGGCUAAAGGAAGCGCUAAACCGCUGAGCCACCUGAGCUACCCAAAUCCUAUGUUUCAUGUACCAAUUUAGAACAUAAGCAUGCCAUUAAAUCUCAGUAGAUUUCAAAAGAUCAAAAUCUUUAAUAGUAUUUUCUUUAACUGAAGCAGAAUUAAAUGUUGAUGCUGUCACAGCAAAUUAAAGUGGAAUCUUUGCAGGUAAGGCCCACAUAUUUGGUUUCCAAACCUCCCCAGGUAAUUCAAAUGAGAACCUAUGUUGAAAACCAGUGAUCAAGGCAUAUAGCAGAAGCCAGCAAGGGAAAUAGUCAAAAAAGAUAAAAAAAAAUGAUUGCAUCUGGUGAGUACAGUGACAAUGGGAGAGGCAGAUCAUUACUUUCAUAUAUAAGUUCUCUAUUAUUUUAUUUAAGAGUGUGUGUAUUGCUUUGAUAAAAUUCCAAAUUUACUACUAAAAAUUUCUUCCUCUAAAGAGUACCCCCCAUGUACCCUUAUGCAACUGGAUUCUCCACUGUUAAUUCUCUACCUCUGAUCUCUGUUUUCAUCAAGACACCUAUCCCAAUUUUAAAUUACAGAUUAAUGUGUUUGCAGAUUAUUGUUUAUUUCAUUCCUUAGCUUCUAAGCUCCAAAGAGGCAGAACAACGCCUGUUGUAUUUACCAAUGUACACCCAAUACCUAGUACACAAAAAUCUAAAUAUUGGUAGGGAAGAUGGAGACACAAGAUUAAACCUUCCUGGCACCUGGGGCACUCAGUUGGGUAAGUGUCCACCUCUUGAUUUGGGCUCAGAUCAUGAUCUCAGGCUCCUGGUCCUCAGCAAGGAGUCUGCUUGAGAUUCUCUCUUUCCCUCUCCCUCUCCACCCCCCACCACUAUUCUCUCUCUCUCUCUCCCAAAUAAAAAUAAAUAAAUCUUUUUUUAAAAAAAUCAAAUCUUCAUCUUUAGAAGUAACUCUGUAUGUGUGUUGCUUUUGAAUAGAUGAUUUGCUUAUUUUCUACAUUUAGGGAAAGAUUGAUUUUAGGUUUGUACAAAAAAAAAAAUCUCUCUCAUUCACUUCUCUGUUCUACUCUAUGUACUCUAAUCUAGUGACACUAAAUUUAAUCUAAUGUAAUCUGAUCUCUAGUGAUAUGGGGAGGAUGACAGCUGUUUCAACCUAGUUACCUUUGGAAACAUCUCCCUCCCUCCUAUCCACUCCCCUCAAUACAGUGAAUGGUGAAAGCCAGGCAACAACACAGAGAGAGAGGCAGACAUAGGCAGAGGGAGAAACAGGCUCCUUGCAAGGAGCCCA
This is a long non-coding RNA of Canis lupus familiaris (dog), 1902 nucleotides long. RefSeq lists it as uncharacterized. The record is from RefSeq and is a predicted model, not a curated record. The transcript has 3 exons. Lineage: Eukaryota; Metazoa; Chordata; Mammalia; Carnivora; Canidae.